Molecule: transfer RNA, 73 nt
Filed under: Ignavibacteriales bacterium
Lineage: Bacteria; Pseudomonadati; Ignavibacteriota; Ignavibacteria; Ignavibacteriales
Also listed under: 3 other names
Description: tRNA-Ala
Rfam family: tRNA
About the family: Transfer RNA (tRNA) molecules are approximately 80 nucleotides in length. Their secondary structure includes four short double-helical elements and three loops (D, anti-codon, and T loops).
Source: RNAcentral
GGGCUGGUAGUUCAGUGGUAGUAAUGUUCGAUUCGCAAUCGAAAGGUCGCGGGUUCAACUCCCGCCCAGUCCA